CGAACAGUCACACUGGAACUGAGACACGGUCCAGACUCCUACGGGAGGCAGCAGUGAGGAAUAUUGCACAAUGGGAGCAAUCCUGAUGCAGCGACGCCGCGUGCGGGAUGAAGGGGCUUAGCCUCGUAAACCGCUGUCGGAGGGGACGAAUGGUACAUUUGAUGUACUGAGACGGUACCCUCAAAGGAAGGAUCGGCUAACUACGUGCCAGCAGCCGCGGUAAUACGUAGGAUCCGAGCGUUGUCCGGAAUUACUGGGUGUAAAGGGUGCGUAGGCGGACUUGUGCGUCAGAGGUGAAAUCCACGGGCUUAACCCGUGGGGUGCCUUUGAUACGGCAAGUCUUGAGUGCGAGAGAGGUGGGUGGAAUUCCUGGUGUAGCAGUGAAAUGCGUAGAUAUCAGGAGGAACACCGAUGGCGAAGGCAGCCCACCGGCUCGCAACUGACGCUGAGGCACGAAAGCGUGGGGAUCAAACAGGAUUAGAUACCCUGGUAGUCCACGCCUUAAACGAUGUAUGCUUGGUGUUGGGUCGCAAGACUCAGUGCCGGAGGAAACCUAUUAAGCAUACCACCUGGGGAGUACGAUCGCAAGGUUGAAACUCAAGGAAUUGACGGGGGCCCGCACAAGCGGUGGAUCAUGUGGUUUAAUUCGAUGCAACGCGAGGAACCUUACCCGGGC
This 676-nucleotide ribosomal RNA is filed under the name uncultured bacterium. RNAcentral's name for it is "bacterial SSU rRNA". It matches the Rfam family "Bacterial small subunit ribosomal RNA", at positions 301 to 980 of the family's 1533-position model. The record is from RNAcentral.